AGAAAAGAGUGCCUCCUACUGGCCCUCCAACACCACUUCCAGCAGCAUCUGGUCUCCCAUCCAGGAACUGUCCAGGACCAACCCUGCUUAGCUUCAGAAGCAAGCCAGCAGUGGUAUGCAUACGCAUGCGUCGUAGACCUUUGAGAAGGAGGGUGAGAAAUGGUUGGGAGAGAGGGAAACAGAGAGACAUGGUUGGGAGAGAGAGGGAAACAGAGAGACAUUGGUUGGGAGAGAGAGGGAAACAGAGAGACAUUGGUUGGGAGAGAGAGGGAAACAGAGAGACAUUGGUUGGGAGAGAGAGGGAAACAGAGAGACAUGGUUGGGAGAGAGAGGGAAACUGAGACAGUGGUUGGGAGAGAGAGGGAAACAGAGAGACAUGGGAAACAGAGAGACAUGGUUGGGAGAGAGACAUGGUUGGGAGAGAGCGGGAAACAGAGAGACAUGG
Molecule: long non-coding RNA, 445 nt
Organism: Oncorhynchus tshawytscha (Chinook salmon)
Lineage: Eukaryota; Metazoa; Chordata; Actinopteri; Salmoniformes; Salmonidae
Source: Ensembl